CUCCUCCUUCCUCUAAAGUCUAAGUCUGAUAACACUCUCCUGCUCUCUCUUUAACGAAACCAAAUAGAAAAUUCAAGCAAUCUCUCUGUUCGCAACACCUACCUCUACAUUGUGUAAAUUCGUCCAAAAAUAAGGCUGAAUUUGGGAUUUUGUUAAGGUUUUGGUACAAAUUCAACUACAAAUGUAUCUUAUGCUGAGUUCGAAGUAAAAUGUGCAUAUAUUAAGGUGCACAGGCUGUGCGCGGCGGACAUGGAUGGGCACGCAAAUCUUGUGCGCGGGCGAACUGCAUUUAAUUAAAAUAAAUUCAAUUACCUUUUGUGCCGACGAUAAUGGAGGAGACAACGGCGUCGAUGUAGGUCUCUUCUUUGGAGCCAUUGACGUUGACACCUUCACCGGCGACAAACAGAGUCGUGGGCGGGGAAACAGGGGUUGGAAACUUCAAACGCCGCCGCGAAAUAGGGCAGCGCCGGCGAGAGGCGAGUGGAGUAAGGCGAUCGGGUCGCGCAGUGCUUGCGAGAGGGGAUUGCAGCUCCAGCGAGAGGGGCGUGCUCCGGCGGCUAUGGUGCGAGCAAGAGGGGAUUGUUUUGAGGCAUCUCCGGUUGGGUUUGCUCGACAAAAAGUCAAAAACAGAGAACAACACAACGACAAACAAAGAGGUCGUGGGCGGCGAGAAUACGGGUGAACAAACCCGACCAGAUUUCGGCUGAGGUGGUGCCAGCGCAACUGCUAGGCUGCUGGAGGAGGAAGGGAGGGAAAGACCAGAGAAGGAGGAAAGGGUGAUGAGGGAGGGGGGUGAAUUUGAUUUUAAAGGGCGGGAUCGUACUUUCACGCAAUAAAUUAGGGCGUUUUUAACGGAACAGUGCGUCGAAUAAAAAUCCCCAAUAUUUAAGAUCCUAAUUCGGUAGAAAAAAUGUGUAUUUUCAAAAUAAAAUCAACAUAUUGUAUUAAUAUUUUCUACUUUUUAUUAUAAAACUAUAUUUGAUUUUUUCUACGUUGUACCCCUACAUUUCGUUGAUUUCUACGUUGUACCCAUGGAUUUAAAAUCUUCCAAAUUGUACCCUUGUACUUGUAAAAUAUAUUUAACAUUAUCCUUGUUGUUAAUCUAACGUUUAAAGAUUUCGUUACUUUUUAACCAAAUUAAGGUUUUUCAAUAUUAUAUUAUAAUCAAUAUUAUGCUUGUUGGUGAACCUAAUGUUAUGUAGAAAAAUCUUGAAUUUUUA
Molecule: long non-coding RNA, 1220 nt
Organism: Spinacia oleracea (spinach)
Lineage: Eukaryota; Viridiplantae; Streptophyta; Magnoliopsida; Caryophyllales; Amaranthaceae
Exons: 3
Source: RefSeq, a predicted model, not a curated record